UCUUGCAAUCCGUCCCGUAAUCGUGUAUAAUAGGACCAACGUCAUGAAAUACCCUCCGCAGGCAUUCGUGUUGAGGUUCCGGUCUCGCGCAAUGGAAGCCUGUGAACCAUGUCAGGCGGGGAACCGAGCAGCAUUAAGCGGGACGAAAUGUGCCGCGAGGUCCCCGGUUCGGAGCGGAUGCUUGCGGAGAGUAUUUUAUGAGACAGGA
RNAcentral lists this signal recognition particle RNA (208 nucleotides) under Oscillibacter sp. Its description in RNAcentral is "signal recognition particle sRNA large type". It matches the Rfam family "Bacterial large signal recognition particle RNA". Rfam says of the family: The signal recognition particle (SRP) is a universally conserved ribonucleoprotein involved in the co-translational targeting of proteins to membranes. Archaeal SRP consists of a 7S RNA and homologues of the eukaryotic SRP19 and SRP54 proteins. In most bacteria, the SRP consists of a 4.5S RNA and the Ffh protein (a homologue of the eukaryotic SRP54 protein). The record is from RNAcentral. Lineage: Bacteria; Bacillati; Bacillota; Clostridia; Eubacteriales; Oscillospiraceae.